AAAAAUUAUGUUGUUUGAUAUUUUAUUUUGGUCAACAGAUGACGCCACUUUCCACUCAGUAAGUGUACUAAGUGGCGGGUCGAAAAAACCCCUUCCGCAGGCUGCCCACCCCUGCGGAGGGGUCAGCCGGAUUGUGGAGGACGGGGAUCGACUUACCGGGCUCGGACCCCAUGAUAAAUAUUUUCGAGGGGUGGGAUCCGAGAUUCGAACCCGGGUCCUCCAGAGUGGAAAGCCGAAGCGUUUCCACGCGGCCAAUCCGGCCCUUGGUGGUGCAUCGCCGCUUCUGAUCUCUUUUUUUGUCAACAGAUGAUACCACUUUCCAUUCUGGAAGAAUAAGUGGUGGGACGAAACAACCCCUUCCACAGGCUGCCUAUCCCUGCGGAGUGGUCAGCCGGAUUGUGGAGGACAGGGA
Molecule: long non-coding RNA, 412 nt
Filed under: Androctonus crassicauda
Lineage: Eukaryota; Metazoa; Arthropoda; Arachnida; Scorpiones; Buthidae
Source: RNAcentral